GGGCCCGCACAAGCGGUGGAGUAUGUGGUUUAAUUCGAUGCAACGCGAAGAACCUUACCAGGGUUUGACAUCCUGCGAAUUUCUGGGAAACCGGAAAGUGCCUUCGGGAGCGCAGUGACAGGUGGUGCAUGGCUGUCGUCAGCUCGUGUCGUGAGAUGUUGGGUUAAGUCCCGCAACGAGCGCAACCCACGUCUUUAGUUGCCAGCAUUUAGUUGGGCACUCUAGAGAGACCGCCGGUGAUAAACCGGAGGAAGGUGUGGAUGACGUCAAGUCAUCAUGCCCCUUACAUCCUGGGCUACACACGUACUACAAUGCUACGGACAAAGGGCAGCAAACUCGCGAGAGCUAGCAAAUCCCAUAAACCGUGGCUCAGUUCAGAUCGUAGGCUGCAACUCGCCUACGUGAAGGAGGAAUCGCUAGUAAUCGC
Molecule: ribosomal RNA, 427 nt
Filed under: uncultured bacterium
Lineage: Bacteria
Description: bacterial SSU rRNA
Rfam family: Bacterial small subunit ribosomal RNA
Source: RNAcentral